UGAAGUGCUCUCAGAUGGAGAUGGGAAA
Molecule: non-coding RNA, 28 nt
Filed under: Homo sapiens (human)
Lineage: Eukaryota; Metazoa; Chordata; Mammalia; Primates; Hominidae
Source: RNAcentral